AAAAAACUGUGAAGAGGGGAGAAGGUGACAGUGACGGGGUGUAGAAGAUGAGGCGUAGAAGAAAUUUUCAACCAUAUGAGAAUGGAUGACAUCACUUCUGGGGCCCAGGGAGAGCUGAUGAAACCCAGCAUAGUGUGUAGGAGGUGCCAUGGACUGGGAUUUUGUGGAAUCUGGCAUCGGGGGAGCAUUCAGUGUUGGCAAGGCAACCACCAGGGAAUAAAGGAUGGUGAUGUCAUUACAGUGCGCUGCUGUUCCU
Molecule: long non-coding RNA, 256 nt
Organism: Pseudophryne corroboree (corroboree frog)
Lineage: Eukaryota; Metazoa; Chordata; Amphibia; Anura; Myobatrachidae
Exons: 3
Source: RefSeq, a predicted model, not a curated record